UUUUCUUCUCUUAACAGUAUUGUCACAGAGUAGAAAAUUUUAAUUCUAACAAAGUCCACCUUAACUGGAUUUUUCAUUGAAGACUCGUUCUUUCAAUGUUGAAGAUAAAAGGUCAUUAUGAAAUCUCAGGUCAUAUCUUCUCCUUUGCUAGUUCUAGAAUUUUGAUAGUUUCGCAGUUUGUGUUUACAUCCAUGAACAAUUUUUGUGAAUAUUUGUGUCAUGUGAAAAGUUGGCAUCUUUGUUAAGUUUUUUCCAUAUGGUCACCCGAUUGUGCCAUCACCAUUUGUUUAAAAGACUAACUUUUCUCCAUCAAAUUGCCUCUGAUCUUUUGACAAAGAUCAGUUGCCCAUGUUUGUGAGUCUAUGUAUGGACUCUGUGUUCUUUUCUAUUUAUCUCCUGGCACAUUCUUACCCCAGCAUCACACUCCCUGUACCUUUCUAAAUCCUGGAAUGGGGAAGUGCGGCUUACUCAACUUUGCUCUUCAGUGUUGUGCAGGAUAUUCCAGGUGCAGAAACGGUUUGUAGAUAUCUACAAAGUGUCUGACUGGGACAUUGACUGGGGUUGUGUUGACUCUGUAGGUCCAGUCGGGAAGAGCUGACAUCUUCAUUAUACUGAGUCUACUGAUCGUGGAAGUGAAAUACGUCUCCUAUUAGCAGCACAGAGAAUACGCACCACGUGUUGCACUUUGACCUGUACUUCUUGUUAUCAUAAUCCACUCUCAUCAAGGCCUGUGAUACGGUGCCCAUUCCAUUUGAACUUCAGAAAUUAAGGGACUGAACAGUGUGACCACUGAGCUGCUGUGCCUCAGCUUAGGAGUCCCUGCUUAGCGGUAGCCAGCUUGCUCCCCGGCCGGGGGCACAGGGCUCACACCACCGCCUUGUUCUGACCGGGGCCCCAGAGACCAGGGUGUGGUGCUGGGUGUGCUGCCCAUGGAUGCUGGUUCCUGGCCGCAGUGAGACAAGAGCUUCCUGUCCCCAGGAUCGACGUGCCGCUCCCUCGGGAAGAGGAUGCUCCCUGCCCGCUUCCGGCCCAGCAGGGGCCUGUGUGCCUCCUCUGACACUCUCCUUCGGUCAUGCGCACAGAGCUGCAUGGUCUGGACUGUUCCUGGGGCUUGUUCUCUACUCCCUCAGGGCGUGUGUUCCUGAGGCCUAUUGUGCACAGGAUCGCCCUUUAUGGGGCUCCUGGGGCGAUCACAGCCCGCUGUGCUGUGUCACAGGCUUGUGAGGUUUGUGGGAGGAAUCGUGCACAGAUUCAGACACACAGGUGCCCUCGUGAAAGGAUGUGCAAGAUGUUGGGCCUUCCCGGGAGGGAGCUGGGGACACAGGACACGCCUGGAGACUACAGAAUUCCUGGGCGAAAGGGAAAAAUGUUCAAACCUACAUCCGCUGCAAGAAUUGUUAAUGCUAAAUUUCCUAUGACAUGGAAGUAGCUGAAAAUAUAUUGAAAGAUAAAGAUGAGAUGUAUUAAUAAACAUUAUUUUAAUUUUCAA
This is a non-coding RNA of Equus caballus (horse), 1489 nucleotides long. The record is from RefSeq and is a predicted model, not a curated record. NCBI's taxonomy places the organism in Eukaryota, Metazoa, Chordata, Mammalia, Perissodactyla, Equidae.